Molecule: small nucleolar RNA, 72 nt
Organism: Rattus norvegicus (Norway rat)
Lineage: Eukaryota; Metazoa; Chordata; Mammalia; Rodentia; Muridae
Product: small nucleolar RNA SNORD113/SNORD114 family
Source: Ensembl
UGGAUCAGUGAUGAGCAUUGAUGAUAUAUGAUCCAGGGAUCAUGAGUACAGGUGUAGGAGUCUGCGGCCUAC